GAAUGAUAUGGAAGAUGAGUAGUGAAUGACAAAUGGAAAAUAAAACACAGCUGAACUUCGCCUUAAGAGGCUGUUUCCUGCAUUUGCCACAGAGACAUCAGUGUUAGAAACCUGCUUCAAUGAGAUUUGUCUUAGAGAAUAUCCUUCCUUGAGCCAAGAAGUAACAUCUAUCAAGACAAGAGCGAGAGUAAAAUAAGAAAGGAAGAAGCAAAGCAGAGAAAUUGAGGAGAACAGAUUGCUGAAUCUAUUGGUUAAGUGAGUAAGAACUUGUGUGGAAAAUUGUCUGGCUUAUUUCAGACCAAAGACUUGAAUCAGAGUAUGAUUUGGGACUUUUUCCGGAUGAGCUUAUUGUAGUUUAUAUUACUUGUCCUCUCCAACUUUUUAUAAAUAGUGUAAUAUUCCCAUAAAAAGGAGGGUGGGAGGGAGAAGAAGUAAACUUCUGCUCUGUGUAUAGGAAGAUAUGCGAUAAGACCAUUCAUCCAGACAGCAGUAAAUUAGAUUAAUAUCUUAAUGGGGAACGUUCAUUUAAUGCUAUUAAACAUUUUGUAUUAUCUUAAUUAUUCAGUGCUGUAAUACAAUUUAAUUCUCCCCACUGGCCUUUACCUAGAUGGCCAGCACAUUCACCUGGUCUGUAGGUGUUCCAUAUUUGUAUCUCACUGAUGUUAUGUAGAGAGGAGAUACAAACCUAUGGUUCCCAAUUAUAUUCC
RNAcentral lists this long non-coding RNA (707 nucleotides) under Anas platyrhynchos platyrhynchos (common mallard). RNAcentral describes it as "lncRNA (ENSAPLG00000017612.1)". The record is from RNAcentral. Lineage: Eukaryota; Metazoa; Chordata; Aves; Anseriformes; Anatidae.